GCCUACGGGGCGCAGCAGUAGGGAAUCUUCCACAAUGGACGAAAGUCUGAUGGAGCAACGCCGCGUGAGUGAAGAAGGGUUUCGGCUCGUAAAGCUCUGUUGGUAGUGAAGAAAGAUAGAGGUAGUAACUGGCCUUUAUUUGACGGUAAUUACUUAGAAAGUCACGGCUAACUACCUGCCAGCAGCCGCGGUAAGACGUAGGUGGCAAGCGUUGGCCGGAUUUAUUGGGCGGAAAGCGAGGGCAGGAGGUUCAAUAA
Molecule: ribosomal RNA, 257 nt
Filed under: uncultured bacterium
Lineage: Bacteria
Description: partial 16S ribosomal RNA
Rfam family: Bacterial small subunit ribosomal RNA
Source: RNAcentral